This is a long non-coding RNA of Haliotis rubra (blacklip abalone), 196 nucleotides long. RefSeq lists it as uncharacterized. NCBI's taxonomy places the organism in Eukaryota, Metazoa, Mollusca, Gastropoda, Lepetellida, Haliotidae. The record is from RefSeq and is a predicted model, not a curated record. The transcript is spliced from 3 exons.
UAGGGGCGUCAGUGAGGUAGGUGAGUGGGAGGAUGUCGGGUAGGGGCUUCAGUGAGGUAGGUGAAUGGGAGGAUGUCGGGUAGGGGCGUCAGUGAGGUAGGUGAGUGGGAGGAUGUCGGGUAGGGGCGUCAGUGAGGUAGGUGAGUGGGGGCGUCAGUGAGGUAGGUGAGUGGGGGCGUCAGUGAGGUAGGUGAGU